This 253-nucleotide ribosomal RNA is filed under the name uncultured bacterium. Its description in RNAcentral is "partial 16S ribosomal RNA". It matches the Rfam family "Bacterial small subunit ribosomal RNA", at positions 524 to 776 of the family's 1533-position model. The record is from RNAcentral.
UACGUAGGUGGCAAGCGUUAUCCGGAAUUAUUGGGCGUAAAGCGCGCGUAGGCGGUUUUUUAAGUCUAUUGUGAAAGCCCACGGCUCAACCUUGGAGGGUCAUUGGAAACUGGAAAACUUGAGUGCGGAAGAGGAAAGCGGAGCUCCAUGUGUAGCGGUGAAAUGCGUAGAGAUAUGGAGGAACACCAGUGGCGAAGGCGACUUUCUGGUCUGUAACUGACGCUGAUGUACGAAAGCGUGGGGAACAAACAGG